GUGGGCUACGGGGAUGUCGUUCCUAUCACGGUUCCUGGUAAAAUGGUCGGUCUGUUGUGCGCCUUAUCGGGGGUACUGUGUAUUGCUCUCCCAGUGCCAGCUAUUGUCCAGG
Molecule: regulatory RNA element, 112 nt
Organism: Oikopleura dioica
Lineage: Eukaryota; Metazoa; Chordata; Appendicularia; Copelata; Oikopleuridae
Rfam family: Potassium channel RNA editing signal
About the family: This family represents a group of sequences related to the human potassium channel Kv1.1 hairpin element which directs the efficient modification of an adenosine to inosine by an adenosine deaminase acting on RNA (ADAR). The ADAR modification causes an isoleucine/valine recoding event which lies in the ion-conducting pore of the potassium channel. It is thought that this editing event targets the process of fast inactivation and allows a more rapid recovery from inactivation at negative potentials.
Source: Rfam